RNAcentral lists this ribosomal RNA (236 nucleotides) under uncultured Staphylococcus sp. RNAcentral's name for it is "partial 16S ribosomal RNA". It matches the Rfam family "Bacterial small subunit ribosomal RNA", at positions 104 to 334 of the family's 1533-position model. Lineage: Bacteria; Bacillati; Bacillota; Bacilli; Caryophanales; Staphylococcaceae. The record is from RNAcentral.
GGGUGAGUAACACGUGGAUAACCUACCUAUAAGACUGGGAUAACUUAGGGAAACCGGAGCUAAUACCGGAUAAUAUUUUGAACCGCAUGGUUCAAAAGUGAAAGACGGUCUUGCUGUCACUUAUAGAUGGAUCCGCGCUGCAUUAGCUAGUUGGUAAGGUAACGGCUUACCAAGGCAACGAUGCAUAGCCGACCUGAGAGGGUGAUCGGCCACACUGGAACUGAGACACGGUCCAG